UUUUUUUUGUCUUUUUUUUUUGGUUUUAA
This 29-nucleotide small RNA is filed under the name Arabidopsis thaliana (thale cress). Its description in RNAcentral is "ATSL016100". The record is from RNAcentral. Lineage: Eukaryota; Viridiplantae; Streptophyta; Magnoliopsida; Brassicales; Brassicaceae.